This 568-nucleotide long non-coding RNA is filed under the name Homo sapiens (human). RNAcentral describes it as "non-protein coding LINC02185:27". The record is from RNAcentral. Lineage: Eukaryota; Metazoa; Chordata; Mammalia; Primates; Hominidae.
AAGUAGACGCAAUUAAACAUGAAGGAUUGUGAAGGCAAAAGAUGAACCAGCCAGCCUAGUCUCUGGAUGCAUAAGCUCCAAGUGUGGAGGAGACCCGGAGAGAAAAGCAGACUGUUCUCUGUGUUUACCUGUAAGCACAGGCCGCAACCUGCCAUGCUGUUUUUAAAUGCCCAAGAGCUGGUGACAAGAGGGUUUCCCUUUGCCAUCUGGACCUGAUUGCCUUAGAGGUAAAGAUUCAAUACCCUUAAGAAGUUAGAUUCUAAAAGAUUAUAAAUUGGUGCCACUGCUUUUGAUUGCAAUUGAUCAAUUUCCGGAUAGAGAUUGCACAAUCCAUGAAGACACACAACACUCUCAGAAGUCACUGCUCCAUGCUGUGCCCCUCAUCCCUGCCUGGGAGCUCGGUAUCUCUGCCUCCCACCUUGCUAACCAGCACCUCUGCCUUCACUCAGAGCGCUCAGGACAUAGCUGUAAGCCACUCAAAAACAGUUCUUGAAAUCUCAAGUUCAAUACUGGCCUCCUAAAUCCUAGCAAUUCCCAGAGGAGUGAGAGGUGGGAGGUGGCAAGGAUG